Molecule: ribosomal RNA, 447 nt
Filed under: uncultured bacterium
Lineage: Bacteria
Description: partial 16S ribosomal RNA
Rfam family: Bacterial small subunit ribosomal RNA
Source: RNAcentral
AACGAACGCUGGCGGCAGGCUUAACACAUGCAAGUCGAGCGCCCCGCAAGGGGAGCGGCAGACGGGUGAGUAACGCGUGGGAAUCUACCCAUCCCUACGGAAUAGCUCCGGGAAACUGGAAUUAAUACCGUAUACGCCCUACGGGGGAAAGAUUUAUCGGGGAUGGAUGAGCCCGCGUUGGAUUAGCUAGUUGGCGGGGUAAAGGCCUACCAAGGCGACGAUCCAUAGCUGGUCUGAGAGGAUGAUCAGCCACAUUGGGACUGAGACACGGCCCAAACUCCUACGGGAGGCAGCAGGGGGGAGUAUUGGACAAGGGGGGCAACCCUGAUCCAGCCAUGCCGCGUGAGUGAUGAAGGCCUUAGGGUUGUAAAGCUCUUUCACCGGGGAAGAUAAUGACGGUACCCGGAGAAGAAGCCCCGGCUAACUUCGUGCCAGCCGCCGCCGUAA